UCAGCAAUGCCUGCCCAGUGCGAUUGAAAGGUCGUAAACGGCCGCCCUAGCGUGAGGGUGCUAAGGUAGCGAAAUUCCUUGCCUUUUAAUUGUAGGCCUGCAUGAAUGGCUUGACGAGGGUUUAACUGUCUCUGGUUUGUAAGGUCUAAAUUGGAUUAAAGGUGAAGAUACCUUUAUAUGAAAGUCAGACAAGAAGACCCCGUGCAACUUUUAAAGUCGGUUUAUUGAGAAAUUUAAGAUUUUUAGGUGGGGCGCCUACUGAGUAUUACUAACCUCUGUGUAUAAAAAAACAUUCAAGUGUAGACCCGACAUUGUCGAUCAUAGGAGAAGUUACGCCGGGGAUAACAGGCUGAUCCACUAGUAGAGAACGUAUUGGCUAGUGGGAUUGGCACCUCGAUGUUGAAUCAGGGAUGAUACCUUUAAGGCGUAGAAGCUUAAAAGUAGGUCUGUUCGACCUUUAAUACCCUACGUGAUCUGAGUCCAGACCGGA
RNAcentral lists this ribosomal RNA (490 nucleotides) under Ostrea megodon. RNAcentral's name for it is "Undulostrea megodon partial 16S ribosomal RNA". It matches the Rfam family "Bacterial large subunit ribosomal RNA", at positions 1849 to 2620 of the family's 2925-position model. The record is from RNAcentral. Lineage: Eukaryota; Metazoa; Mollusca; Bivalvia; Ostreida; Ostreidae.